Molecule: non-coding RNA, 697 nt
Organism: Ictidomys tridecemlineatus (thirteen-lined ground squirrel)
Lineage: Eukaryota; Metazoa; Chordata; Mammalia; Rodentia; Sciuridae
Source: RefSeq, a predicted model, not a curated record
ACCAGGAGGGAUGCAGUAGGGAAGGCAAAACGGUGAUGGUGGCAGGAAUGCAAGGGGAUGCUGGAGGAGGAGGCUCGCUGGCUUUGUCUUGAUGUCGGAGCCCAGACUCAGAUGUAGAGGCCCUCACUUCUUCCCUGAAAGGGUCCAGUGCUUUUAUCAAGAAGGAGAUUAGAAAAGGAGAGAGGAAUUUUUUUUCCAAAUGAAAUAAUAUAGAGGCCAUACUUGGAAAGAGGGAAAGAUACUGUAAUCUUGGAGGUGGGAUUCUGCAGGGGAGCUCCAAUAGAAAUACUGUAGUCCAAUAUAAAAACGAAGACAUAAAUAAUUAAGCAGAAUGGACACCAGGACUCUGGCCUCUUGGUUAUCAGUGGUCUUCACCGACCUCCCAAGGAAUUAAGUGCUUGGAGCCUUAGACCAGGGCCCACGGUUUUGGAACUCUCUAGUGUCCUUUAUUAAAACAUUAACUAAGGACUUAACCUAAGAUCACUCUCCAUGAUCUUUGCCUUUCAAAGGAGAAAGUUGAAGCUCAGAUGACCAUGUACACAGGAGAAAAACCAGAAACAGCACUCAGAAGCAAGACCCCCACAUCUGAUAUCUUGAUGUUGCCCACUAGUAAGAAAAAGCACAUGGUACUUAUUGGACUCAGCUUUCUCUCCUUCAGUUUCAAAAUCUGCAUAAAAUAAAACUACCUGCAUCCAAA